Molecule: long non-coding RNA, 397 nt
Organism: Pygocentrus nattereri (red-bellied piranha)
Lineage: Eukaryota; Metazoa; Chordata; Actinopteri; Characiformes; Serrasalmidae
Exons: 3
Source: RefSeq, a predicted model, not a curated record
CUCUUCUCAGGUACACAAAUCAAUUCUGGCACCCAAAUCCAAGGUGAUAACGUGACGAUUAAUGUAAGUGAUGGCGCCAGUUACUAUGGCCCCAUCAUACGUAACUCAACAAUGCAGAGCAGCGAAAUGAAUGCGAAUAUUGGGUCCAACAAAAAUAAGGAGGACACCAACAGCACUGCAGAUAAUCAGGAGUCUGAGGAAGAUCCAAAGUGACUCUAAUGACAUAGAAAACACUGUUAGAACCAUCAGAGACCUCAGCCUGCACAAGUCUGCACAUAGAGCCACACAACGCUCUACUGUUUACUACCAACCACUUCAGGUCACAUAUUGUAUACAGGCCAGUCAUACCUCCACACUCAGGUUUGUUUACAAUAAAAGUACUUUAGUGUGUGUUUUA